AGGACGAACGCUGGCGGCGUGCUUAAUACAUGCAAGUCGAGCGGUGAUCCUCCUUCGGGAGGUGAUCAGCGGCGAACGGGUGAGUAACACGUGGGCAACCUGCCCCUCACACUGGGAUAACCUCGGGAAACCGGGCUAAUACCGGAUACGACCUCGAGCGGCAUCUCUUGAGGUGGAAAGCUCCGACGGUGAGGGAUGGGCCCGCGGCCUAUCAGCUUGUUGGUGGGGUAAUGGCCUACCAAGGCGACGACGGGUA
RNAcentral lists this ribosomal RNA (256 nucleotides) under uncultured bacterium. RNAcentral's name for it is "partial small subunit ribosomal RNA". It matches the Rfam family "Bacterial small subunit ribosomal RNA", at positions 26 to 285 of the family's 1533-position model. The record is from RNAcentral.